GCUGUAGCUCGGUGGUAGAGCUUCUGGUCUGAAUGCAGAAGGUUCCAGGGUUCAAUCUCUGGUAUCUCCA
This is a non-coding RNA of Podarcis lilfordi (Lilford's wall lizard), 70 nucleotides long. NCBI's taxonomy places the organism in Eukaryota, Metazoa, Chordata, Lepidosauria, Squamata, Lacertidae. The record is from the annotation of a GenBank genome assembly.